This is a regulatory RNA element of Staphylococcus sp. HGB0015, 112 nucleotides long. It matches the Rfam family "SAM riboswitch aptamer (S box leader)". From Rfam's summary of the family: The SAM riboswitch is found upstream of a number of genes which code for proteins involved in methionine or cysteine biosynthesis in Gram-positive bacteria. The SAM riboswitch acts at the level of transcription termination control. NCBI's taxonomy places the organism in Bacteria, Bacillati, Bacillota, Bacilli, Caryophanales, Staphylococcaceae. The record is from Rfam.
AACUUAUCCAGAGAAGCGGAGGGACUGGCCCUAUGAAGCUUCGGCAACAGGCUACGGCACUGUGCCAAUUCCAGUAACUGAUACGGUCUUCGUAUCGGUUAGAAGAUAAGAU